UGGGUGUAUUAGGUGCGCUGA
This 21-nucleotide non-coding RNA is filed under the name Arabidopsis thaliana (thale cress). The record is from RNAcentral. Lineage: Eukaryota; Viridiplantae; Streptophyta; Magnoliopsida; Brassicales; Brassicaceae.